AGCUCAAAUUUGAAAUCUGGCUUCGGCCCGAGUUGUAAUUUGCAGAGGAUGCUUUUGGUGCGGUGCCUUCCGAGUUCCCUGGAACGGGACGCCACAGAGGGUGAGAGCCCCGUAUGGUCGGACACCAAUCCUGUGUAAAGCUCCUUCGACGAGUCGAGUAGUUUGGGAAUGCUGCUCUAAAUGGGAGGUAAAUCUCUUCUAAAGCUAAAUACCGGCCAGAGACCGAUAGCGCACAAGUAGAGUGAUCGAAAGAUGAAAAGCACCUUGAAAAGGGGGUUAAACAGUACGUGAAAUUGUUGAAAGGGAAGCACUUGUGACCAGACUUGGGCCGGGCGGCUCAUCAGGGGUUCUCCCCUGUGCAUUCCGCCCGGUACAGGCCAGCAUCGGUUCUUACCGGGGGAUAAGAACGGCAGGAACGUGGCUCCCUCUCGGGGGAGUGUUAUAGCCUGCCGUACGAUACCCUGGCGGGGACCGAGGUUCGCGCUUCCGCAAGGAUGCUGGCGUAAUGGUUACUAGUGACCCGUCUUGAAACACGGACCAAGGAGUCGUCCAUUAGAGCGAGCGUUUGGGUGUAAAACCCGCACGCGUAAUGAAAGUGAAAUUAGGUGAGAGCUUCGGCGCAUCAUCGACCGAUCCUGAUGUUCUCGGAUGGAUUUGAGUAAGAGUUUUAACGGACGGACCCGAAAGACAGUGAACUAUGCUUGUAUAGGGUGAAGCCAGAGGAAACUCUGG
This 732-nucleotide ribosomal RNA is filed under the name Tubakia dryina. RNAcentral's name for it is "eukaryotic LSU rRNA". It matches the Rfam family "Eukaryotic large subunit ribosomal RNA", at positions 106 to 867 of the family's 3401-position model. Lineage: Eukaryota; Fungi; Ascomycota; Sordariomycetes; Diaporthales; Tubakiaceae. The record is from RNAcentral.